UGGUACGUGCUGUCUCCCUUGCCUGGAAAACUUUCCACCUCAUUCCUACCCGGCUCGCGCACCUCCUCAUUUUAGACUCAGCUCAAACAGGCUCCCCAGAGAGAUCUGCUCUGGCCACUCUCUGCUGCUGUUCCCCCAUCUUCCUCUCAGGAACACAGAAUUGCUCAGUCUCUGAUAUGUUCUCAUUGUUGGCCAUGACUGGCUCAUUUUAUACAUAAUAUAAUAAAUAUAAAUCAGACACUCGAUACAAGAACUGAAACAUCAUCGUAACUUUCCUUCUCCCAUUAACUCCUUUCCUGUCUUGCCAUCUGCCUCCCCUUACCUGAGGCAAUGUCUACCCCAAAUCUUCUUUAACAUCUUUAAAGAACAUAACAGCUUUAUUGAGAUAUAAUUUACAUACCACAGUGUUCACCCACUUACAGUGCAUCAUUCAGUGGCUUUUAGUAUAUUUACAGAGUUGUGUAACCAUCACAGUAGAUUUUAGAAUAUUUUCAUCUUUCAUCAUUAGCAGUCACUCCCCCAUCUGCUCUGCAGCCCUUCUAAUCCCAGCUCUAGGCAACCACUAAUCUACUAUCUGUCUCUAUGGAUUUGCUUAUUCUGAACAUUUCAUGUAAACAGAAUCAUGCAAGUUGUCGCCUUUUGGGACUGACUGCUUUCAUUUAACAUCCUCUUUUCUGGAUUUAUGGUGUUGUAGUAUAUAUCAGAACUGAAUUCCUUUUUCUUGCCAAAUAAUAUUUCAUUGUGUGGAUAUACCACAGUUUCUUUACCAGUUAGCCAGUUAAUGAACAUUUGUGUUGUUUCGACGUUACAGCCAUUGUGAAUAAUGUUGCUAUGAAUAUUCAUAUGCAAGUUUUUGUGUGUCACACGUUUUCAUUUCCUUUGGGUAUAUACCUAGGAGUGCAAUUGCUAGGUCAUAUGGUAACUCUGUUUAGCCUUUUGAGCACCUGCCAAAGCAACUGCAUCAUCUUAAAUUCUAGCCAGCAGUUUAUGAGGUUACAAUUUCCUCUUUUGGGGCUGGGGAUGUGGCUUAAGUGGUAACGUGCUCUCCUGGCAUGCGCAGGGCCCUGGGUUCGAUCCUCAGCACCACAUAAAAUAAAGAUGUUGUGUCCACCGAAAACUGAAAAAUAAAUAUUAAAAAAACUCUCUCUCUCUCUCUCUCUCCCCCCCUCUCCCUCUCCUCUCUCUCUCUCUAAAAAAAAAAAAAAAACAAUUUCCUCUUUCACUUACUUUUAAAAAUAUACACUUAUUAUUAUUAGAGCUUGAUAGUUAUACAUAGUAGUUGAUUUCAUCUCCACAAACUCAUAUAUGCAUGGAAAUCAAUUCCCCUCCCCCAUCUUUUCCCUCUCACUAAAAAUAUACACUUUCUUAGCCUGGUGCCAUGGCAUAGGCCUGUAAUCCUAGCAGCUCAGGAGGCUGAGGCAGGAGGAUCACAAGUUCAAAACCAGCCUCAGCAAAAGCAAGGCACUAAACAAUUCAGUGAGACCCUAGCUCUAAAAAAUAUACUAAAUAGGGCUGGGGAUAUGGCUCAGUAGUAGAGUACCCCCUGUACAAAAAUAAAAAUUAUACACACACACACACACACACACACACUUUCUUAAAAAUGUGUUGUCUUGGAGCUGGGGCUGGGGCUCAGUGGUAAUGCACUUGCCUGGCAUAUUUGAGGCACUGGGUUUGAUUCUCAGCACCACAUAUAGAUAAAUAAAAAUAAAGGUCUAUCAACAACUAAAAAAAAAUUUUUUUUAAAGUGUUGUCUUUAGUUUUAGCAAAAGGAUAUCAUACUUCAUGCAGUAUCUCCUCUUUGCUUUCUCAGUGUUCAUCCACCUCUGAACCCCUUUUGAUAUUAUCAGAUGUCUUCAUUUUUCCCUGUAUAAUUCUCUCACCACUCUUUUUUCUUCAUAGUACUUGUCAUAUUCUGAAUUAUUUUCUUUGUUUGCUGCUUGCUGCCUGUCUUCUCUCCACUAGAGUGUCUGCUCUAAGAGGGUGAGAGUUUUGACUUUUUUUUUUUUUUUUGUUUUAUUGCUCUAACCCGAGGACAGUGUCUGGCAUUGUAUGCUGAACCUGGCCUCUACCACAGGCACGCCCAGCCCAGCAUGCCUCCUUAAAGCUUUCCAACUUACAUCUUCCUUCCUUCCUGCCCGCCUUCCCUUCUUUCCUCUUCCUAUUUUUUUUUUUUUUUUGGUAUGGUACAGGGUGUUGAAUCCACACUUAGGUACAUCACCAGUCCUUUUUUUGAGACAAGGUCUUGCUAAGUAAGUUGCCCAGGCUGGCCUUGAACUUGGGAUCCUCCUGUCUCAGCUUCCUGAGUAGCUGGGGUAGCCCUGCUCCCUCUCUAUACUUUCACUAUGUUGCCAUAGUCUGGCCAUGAACUACUGGGCUCAAGCCAUCUUCCUGCCUCAGCCUCCCCUGUAGAUGGGUUCACAGGCUCCUGGUGCUGUGCCAGGCUUUCCAUAUUUCUUUAGAAUGUGUGCUCAUUUGACACCUGGGCAGAUAAUUUUUUUUAACAUCCACCUCCUCUAAAUAAUAUUAUUUUCAGUAACAGCCAUGAAAUACAGUGAAUUAAUACUAGUGAUAAUGACCAGAAAAGAAAUAUACAUGGAACCCUUUUAUUGAACUUGGUAUAUAGACUUUUUUUUUUUUAGUUGUAGUCGUACACGAUAUAUUUAUUUAUUUAUUUAUUUAUUUAUUUUUAUGUGGUGGUGAGGAUCGAACCCAGGGCCUCACACAUGCUAUGUGAGCACUUUGCCACUGAGCUACAGCCCCAGCCUGGUAUAUAGACUCUUGCCAGUAAAAAUAAAUAUUACAGUGCAAAAAGCAGAACAGAGCUAAUAGAUCAAUACUUUUCAAUUACCUUAAUGUAUUUAUUUGAAGAAAUUGUAAAACAUACACACAUGGUGGCCUGUUGCAAUAAUAAUUCAUUAAUUAUGUUAUACUUUAAAAGCAAGUGAGAAAAAUAUCAAUUGAAAAAUAAGAGAUGCAGCCUGGGGAUAUAGCUUAGAGAUGGAGUACUUGCCUAGCAUAAUGUGUGAAGCUCGGAAUUCAGUCUCCAGUGGAACACACGCACACACACACACUAGGGCUGGGGGUGUGGCUGAGUGCUUACCUAGCAUGCACACAAGGCCCUGGGCUAAAUUCCCAGCAAAACAAAAACAAAAUGAAAGAGCCGUACCAGACAGGCAGGUAGCACAACCCUGUAAUCCCAGCUUCUCAGGAGCCUGAGGCAGGAGGAUUGCAAGUUUGAGGCUAGCCUGGGAAAUUUGGUGAGAACCUACCUCAAACAAGGCUAGAGAUGCAGCUGGAUGGUAGAGUGCCCCUGGGUUCAAUCCCUAGUACCACAAUCAAUCAAUCAGUCAAUCAAUGAGCUGGGCGGGGGUAGUAACUCAGGGUUCUGGGUUCGGUCCCUAGCACUGCAAAAUAAGUAAUAAGAGCCAAUUUCAAUAUUAAAUAUAUUCCAAUUUGAUAGUAGAGCAUAAGUUUACUAAACAGUAAUAGUAUAGUAUGAUCUUACUAAGUCAUAGUUACCACAUUUUCGAGUUUGUCUUUUCACUGUUUUAAAAUUUUAUUUAUUUAUUUAUUUUUUAAUAUUUUUAGUUGUUGAUGGAUCUUUAUUUUAUUUAUUGGUAUGUGGUGCUGAAAAUUGAACCCAGUGCCUCAUGCAUGCUAGGCAAGCGCUCUACCACUGAGCCACAACCCCAGCCCUGUUUUAAAAUUUUAAAUAGCAAAUUUCCAAGUGGUCACAUGAAAUGACAGUAUUGGCAACUCAAGUUCUGCUCUUUCAAAAGUCACUGUGCUGUCAUUGUUUUGGAUCUGUUGUUUAAACACAGACAUGUGUGGUACCAAAGGCGAUGGAGACACGACUGUGCAGGAGACGGCCUGAACAAUUCUGAACUGUUGGGGACUUACUCUCAAAAUGAAUGCAGACAGUUGAUUCUGGCUCCCUGGGUGUUAGGGCUGACUGUAUAACUGGGAAUGCUUUGAAUUAACUUCCUUGUAGAAGGCUUAUUACUGCAUAAGUAAUUAAAGUGUUCUGAUUUAAAGCUUACAAAUAUAUCAUUAAAACUCAAGCUAGACCAACAACUUGAUCUUCUUUGGGGAGGAGUAUUUUAUCACCAACAUGGUUUAGAAUUGUGGUUGCAUGGUGAUAAUAAAAAGCAGACUAACUUUCAAUCACUUUUAUUAUUCUCUGUAAUUCUCUGCAGACAGUGCACCCUGUCAAGGCCUGUGCAGCCCCACCGGGUACCCACUGCAGAGCAUCAAGGGACUCCUGCAGUUACCACUUCAGUUGUGCCACAAGGCCAGAGGACUCACCCGGUUUCCACUCUCACCAUUGUAUUCCCAGCACCUAGUGGAGCUUGGCACUAUGUAGGCUCUCAAUAUCUGUUCAGUCUCUGGGUACGGUGGUAUACACGUGUAAUCCCAGCGGUUCGGAAGGCUAAGGCAGGAGGAUCACAAGUUCAAAGCCAGCCUCAGCAACUUAGUGAGGUCCUGAGCAACUUGGCAUAGACUGGUAUAGACUCUGUCUCAACGUGAAAUAUAAAAAGGGCUGGGGGGCUGGGAUUGUGGCUCAGCGGUAGAGCACUUGCCUAGCACGUUCGAGGCCCUGGGUUCGAUCCUCAGCACCACAUAAAAAUAAAUGAAUAAAAUAAUGGUACAGUGUCAACUACAACUAAAAAAUAUUUUUAAAAAAAUAAAUAAAUGAAAAUUAAAAGGGCUGGGGGUGUGCUUCGGUGGUUAAGCAUCCCUGGGUUCAAUCCCUGGUAGAAAAAAAUAUAUCUGUUCAGGGAAGGAAAGAAGACACCAACUCAGGUGAGCUAGACUCCCCCCCACCUCCAACUAUGUCUAACUCCAGAAGGACCCAUCUUCAAACAAGUGAACCAGUGUUUUCCUCAGAGACAUUCAGAAUGAAAAGACAAGGUCGGUUGGUCCGUCUCUCUUUUCUCUCUCUCCCUCUCUCUCUUUCUCUUAAAUUCAUCUAAAUUUCUUCAUUUAAACAAAUUCAGAGGCUAUGAUAAUAAGUGUGUUAUAAGACCCUUUCUUUUUAUUAAAUGAUAGUAUAGAACUAUUUAUAUAAAUAAAUAGCUAUAUUUAUUUAUAUGCAGCACUGGGGAUUGAAUCCAGGUCUCAUGCACCAUUAGGGAAGCACUCUUUCUGUGAGUUACACCCUUAGCCCUCAUAGGUAGCUACUGAGCACUUGAAAUGUGGCUAGUAUGAAUUGAAAUGAUGCUGUAGUGCAGAAUACACAUUGGCUUUCACAUAUUAUUAUUAAAAAAAAAGUAACAUAACCAGGAGCCGUGGCGCACGCCUGUAAUCCCAGCAGCUCCAGAGGCUGAGGCAGGGGAAUCACGAGUUCAAAGUCACCCUCAGCAACGGUGAGGGGCAAAGCAACUCAGUGAGACCCUGUCUCUAGAUAAAAUACAAAAUAGGCUGGGGAUGGGGCUCAAUGGUUAAGUGCCCCUGAGUUCAAUUCCCGGUACAAAAAUAAAUAAAUAAAUAAAAAAUAAGUUCUGUUUAUAUAUUUCUAUUGAUUACACGUUGAGAAUAUAUUUUGGAUAUAUAUCACGUUUACUGAACUUACAUGUAAUUAAUAGUAGUCAUUAGCAAGUAAUGAUUAAUAAAG
RNAcentral lists this long non-coding RNA (5614 nucleotides) under Marmota monax (woodchuck). The stretch from base 4551 to 4619 matches the Rfam family "tRNA". The record is from RNAcentral. Lineage: Eukaryota; Metazoa; Chordata; Mammalia; Rodentia; Sciuridae.